Long non-coding RNA from Hyaena hyaena (striped hyena), 649 nucleotides. RefSeq lists it as uncharacterized. The transcript is spliced from 3 exons. Lineage: Eukaryota; Metazoa; Chordata; Mammalia; Carnivora; Hyaenidae. The record is from RefSeq and is a predicted model, not a curated record.
UCUUGACACUAGUGGUUGCCAUCUAGAGAGCUUUUGGAAGGCAGAGGUCGGAAACAUUGAGGCGAGUUCUGGAAUCUGGUUUGCUAACCAGGGAAGAAUCAGUAGAUGGGAUGUUGCUGGAAAUGGAGGUUCUCAAUGGCGCUCUCCAAUCCUUACCUCAGGAACAGGGGAAUUCUGAGCAGAGUCCUAGUUCUUAAAAUUUCAGUGAAAAUUACAUCAGCAGCCAUCGCAGCUCCAGUGAUCUGGGAGAACUAACUUGAGCACCGAAGACAAACUCUAAAAGACUGUGAAAUCGCUGGAAGAAAAAGGUUGUCUACCAAUCUUAACCUAAUCAAGAUGUUGAUGUUUUAUUGGUUCCUAAUUUAAGCUAAUCAGGCCAAUCAAAGGAAAAGUGACUUUUUAAUAAUGCCUUCAAAUCCUAAUUUUGUUGAGCACUUGAUUUUGUAGCAGGUACAAUCCUAGAUUCCUUAUUAUAUCUCAUUGAAUCCUUGUAACGACUCUAUGAAGCAAAUGUUUCCAAAACUAUAACUUUUCUUAGGGAUGAAGAAAGAGUGAAGUAACUUACCCAAGCCAUGGAACUAACUAGCACAUUUAUCACUUUAUAACAUGAAAUGUUAUGUUAGUGAAUAUUGUGAACUGAAGUGAGUAC